RNAcentral lists this ribosomal RNA (137 nucleotides) under uncultured bacterium. RNAcentral describes it as "partial 16S ribosomal RNA". It matches the Rfam family "Bacterial small subunit ribosomal RNA", at positions 355 to 509 of the family's 1533-position model. The record is from RNAcentral.
UGGGGGAUAUUGCACAAUGGGGGGAACCCUGAUGCAGCGACGACGCGUGGGUGAAGAAGCGCCUCGGCGCGUAAAGCCCUGUCAGCAGGGAAGAAAAUGACGGUACCUGAAGAAGAAGCCCCGGCUAACUACGUGCC